This 2840-nucleotide ribosomal RNA is filed under the name Salmonella enterica subsp. enterica serovar Newport. RNAcentral's name for it is "partial 23S ribosomal RNA". It matches the Rfam family "Bacterial large subunit ribosomal RNA". The record is from RNAcentral. Lineage: Bacteria; Pseudomonadati; Pseudomonadota; Gammaproteobacteria; Enterobacterales; Enterobacteriaceae.
AAUCCAUAGGUUAAUGAGGCGAACCGGGGGAACUGAAACAUCUAAGUACCCCGAGGAAAAGAAAUCAACCGAGAUUCCCCCAGUAGCGGCGAGCGAACGGGGAGGAGCCCAGAGCCUGAAUCAGCAUGUGUGUUAGUGGAAGCGUCUGGAAAGGCGCGCGAUACAGGGUGACAGCCCCGUACACAAAAGCGCAUGUGCUGUGAGCUCGAUGAGUAGGGCGGGACACGUGGUAUCCUGUCUGAAUAUGGGGGGACCAUCCUCCAAGGCUAAAUACUCCUGACUGACCGAUAGUGAACCAGUACCGUGAGGGAAAGGCGAAAAGAACCCCGGCGAGGGGAGUGAAAAAGAACCUGAAACCGUGUACGUACAAGCAGUGGGAGCACAGGUUUACCUGUGUGACUGCGUACCUUUUGUAUAAUGGGUCAGCGACUUAUAUUCUGUAGCAAGGUUAACCGAAUAGGGGAGCCGGAGGGAAACCGAGUCUUAAUUGGGCGUUAAGUUGCAGGGUAUAGACCCGAAACCCGGUGAUCUAGCCAUGGGCAGGUUGAAGGUUGGGUAACACUAACUGGAGGACCGAACCGACUAAUGUUGAAAAAUUAGCGGAUGACCUGUGGCUGGGGGUGAAAGGCCAAUCAAACCGGGAGAUAGCUGGUUCUCCCCGAAAGCUAUUUAGGUAGCGCCUCGUGAAUUCAUCUCCGGGGGUAGAGCACUGUUUCGGCUAGGGGGCCAUCCCGGCUUACCAACCCGAUGCAAACUGCGAAUACCGGAGAAUGUUAUCACGGGAGACACACGGCGGGUGCUAACGUCCGUCGUGAAGAGGGAAACAACCCAGACCGCCAGCUAAGGUCCCAAAGUCAUGGUUAAGUGGGAAACGAUGUGGGAAGGCCCAGACAGCCAGGAUGUUGGCUUAGAAGCAGCCAUCAUUUAAAGAAAGCGUAAUAGCUCACUGGUCGAGUCGGCCUGCGCGGAAGAUGUAACGGGGCUAAACCAUGCACCGAAGCUGCGGCAGCGAACGUAUCACUUAAAGCGAUUCAGCGGGUUACGAUUGACGGAGCGAAGCGACGUCAAAGCGUAUACAAAGUCGAGUCGGUUUAAGGAUACGUUCGUUGGGUAGGGGAGCGUUCUGUAAGCCUGUGAAGGUGGCCUGUGAGGGUUGCUGGAGGUAUCAGAAGUGCGAAUGCUGACAUAAGUAACGAUAAAGCGGGUGAAAAGCCCGCUCGCCGGAAGACCAAGGGUUCCUGUCCAACGUUAAUCGGGGCAGGGUGAGUCGACCCCUAAGGCGAGGCCGAAAGGCGUAGUCGAUGGGAAACAGGUUAAUAUUCCUGUACUUGGUGUUACUGCGAAGGGGGGACGGAGAAGGCUAUGUUGGCCGGGCGACGGUUGUCCCGGUUUAAGCGUGUAGGCUGGUUUUCCAGGCAAAUCCGGAAAAUCAAGGCUGAGGCGUGAUGACGAGGCACUACGGUGCUGAAGCAACAAAUGCCCUGCUUCCAGGAAAAGCCUCUAAGCAUCAGGUAACAUCAAAUCGUACCCCAAACCGACACAGGUGGUCAGGUAGAGAAUACCAAGGCGCUUGAGAGAACUCGGGUGAAGGAACUAGGCAAAAUGGUGCCGUAACUUCGGGAGAAGGCACGCUGACACGUAGGUGAAGUGAUUUACUCAUGGAGCUGAAGUCAGUCGAAGAUACCAGCUGGCUGCAACUGUUUAUUAAAAACACAGCACUGUGCAAACACGAAAGUGGACGUAUACGGUGUGACGCCUGCCCGGUGCCGGAAGGUUAAUUGAUGGGGUCAGCGCAAGCGAAGCUCCUGAUCGAAGCCCCGGUAAACGGCGGCCGUAACUAUAACGGUCCUAAGGUAGCGAAAUUCCUUGUCGGGUAAGUUCCGACCUGCACGAAUGGCGUAAUGAUGGCCAGGCUGUCUCCACCCGAGACUCAGUGAAAUUGAACUCGCUGUGAAGAUGCAGUGUACCCGCGGCAAGACGGAAAGACCCCGUGAACCUUUACUAUAGCUUGACACUGAACAUUGAGCCUUGAUGUGUAGGAUAGGUGGGAGGCUUUGAAGUGUGGACGCCAGUCUGCAUGGAGCCGACCUUGAAAUACCACCCUUUAAUGUUUGAUGUUCUAACGUGGACCCGUAAUCCGGGUUGCGGACAGUGUCUGGUGGGUAGUUUGACUGGGGCGGUCUCCUCCUAAAGAGUAACGGAGGAGCACGAAGGUUGGCUAAUCCUGGUCGGACAUCAGGAGGUUAGUGCAAUGGCAUAAGCCAGCUUGACUGCGAGCGUGACGGCGCGAGCAGGUGCGAAAGCAGGUCAUAGUGAUCCGGUGGUUCUGAAUGGAAGGGCCAUCGCUCAACGGAUAAAAGGUACUCCGGGGAUAACAGGCUGAUACCGCCCAAGAGUUCAUAUCGACGGCGGUGUUUGGCACCUCGAUGUCGGCUCAUCACAUCCUGGGGCUGAAGUAGGUCCCAAGGGUAUGGCUGUUCGCCAUUUAAAGUGGUACGCGAGCUGGGUUUAGAACGUCGUGAGACAGUUCGGUCCCUAUCUGCCGUGGGCGCUGGAGAACUGAGGGGGGCUGCUCCUAGUACGAGAGGACCGGAGUGGACGCAUCACUGGUGUUCGGGUUGUCAUGCCAAUGGCACUGCCCGGUAGCUAAAUGCGGAAGAGAUAAGUGCUGAAAGCAUCUAAGCACGAAACUUGCCCCGAGAUGAGUUCUCCCUGAGACUUAGAGUCUCCUGAAGGAACGUUGAAGACGACGACGUUGAUAGGCCGGGUGUGUAAGCGCAGCGAUGCGUUGAGCUAACCGGUACUAAUGAACCGUGAGGCUUAACCUUACAACGCCGAAG